RNAcentral lists this long non-coding RNA (361 nucleotides) under Musa acuminata (dwarf banana). RNAcentral describes it as "long non-coding RNA (MACU_LNC009034)". Lineage: Eukaryota; Viridiplantae; Streptophyta; Magnoliopsida; Zingiberales; Musaceae. The record is from RNAcentral.
UUUAUUCAAUGUGCCUCUUGAAUUCUAUCAUAAAUCGAGCUUUGGUCGAUUUCGCAUAUUCUGGUUUCAUUCCUUUGGAAAUUGAUAUCCUUUAGCUUUCUUAUUCAAUUGAGCUUUAUAUUACUGCUUUGAAUUCUUGUAUGCUCUUGUCCUUAAAAUUAUUUGUAUUCUUGAAAACUAUUGUGUAACGUUUAUGCUAUAUCGUAUUGACUCAUAUAGGCACAUGUAUAUCCCAUUAUUCCGCAUUUGCUUUCGAUAUGUGCCUAUUCCAGUUUCAUUCCUUUGGACAUUGAAUUCAUCUAACCUUCUUAUUUGAAUUGAGUUAUAUAUGAUUGCUUGGAAUCCUUGAAUGCUCUUGCUU